RNAcentral lists this ribosomal RNA (467 nucleotides) under uncultured bacterium. RNAcentral describes it as "partial 16S ribosomal RNA". It matches the Rfam family "Bacterial small subunit ribosomal RNA", at positions 28 to 506 of the family's 1533-position model. The record is from RNAcentral.
GACGAACGCUGGCGGCGUGCUUAACACAUGCAAGUCGAACGGAAAGGCCCUGCUUUUGUGGGGUGCUCGAGUGGCGAACGGGUGAGUAACACGUGAGUAACCUGCCCUUGACUUUGGGAUAACUUCAGGAAACUGGGGCUAAUACCGGAUAGGAGCUCCUGCUGCAUGGUGGGGGUUGGAAAGUUUCGGCGGUUGGGGAUGGACUCGCGGCUUAUCAGCUUGUUGGUGGGGUAGUGGCUUACCAAGGCUUUGACGGGUAGCCGGCCUGAGAGGGUGACCGGCCACAUUGGGACUGAGAUACGGCCCAGACUCCUACGGGAGGCAGCAGUGGGGAAUAUUGCACAAUGGGCGGAAGCCUGAUGCAGCAACGCCGCGUGCGGGAUGACGGCCUUCGGGUUGUAAACCGCUUUCGCCUGUGACGAAGCGUGAGUGACGGUAAUGGGUAAAGAAGCACCGGCCAACUACGU